AAAUUGAAGAGUUUGAUCAUGGCUCAGAUUGAACGCUGGCGGCAGGCCUAACACAUGCAAGUCGAACGGUAGCACAGAGAGCUUGCUCUCGGGUGACGAGUGGCGGACGGGUGAGUAAUGUCUGGGAAACUGCCUGAUGGAGGGGGAUAACUACUGGAAACGGUAGCUAAUACCGCAUAACGUCGCAAGACCAAAGAGGGGGACCUUCGGGCCUCUUGCCAUCAGAUGUGCCCAGAUGGGAUUAGCUUGUUGGUGAGGUAACGGCUCACCAAGGCGACGAUCCCUAGCUGGUCUGAGAGGAUGACCAGCCACACUGGAACUGAGACACGGUCCAGACUCCUACGGGAGGCAGCAGUGGGGAAUAUUGCACAAUGGGCGCAAGCCUGAUGCAGCCAUGCCGCGUGUAUGAAGAAGGCCUUCGGGUUGUAAAGUACUUUCAGCGGGGAGGAAGGUGUUGUGGUUAAUAACCGCAGCAAUUGACGUUACCC
This 488-nucleotide ribosomal RNA is filed under the name Salmonella enterica. RNAcentral describes it as "bacterial SSU rRNA". It matches the Rfam family "Bacterial small subunit ribosomal RNA", at positions 1 to 480 of the family's 1533-position model. The record is from RNAcentral. Lineage: Bacteria; Pseudomonadati; Pseudomonadota; Gammaproteobacteria; Enterobacterales; Enterobacteriaceae. RNAcentral also lists the same sequence under 1 other name.